CCAUGUCAGAUUUGCUCUAAAUGCUUUGGUUUUUGAGUUAUAAGCCAAAAACUGCAUUUUAUCCCUAUGUUCUAUUUUUAGCCGUGGCGGCCAUCUUGAUUUGAUGGCCAGGUCACCGGACACAUUUUUUUAACUAGAUACCCCAAAAAUGAUUGUGGCCAAGUUUGGAUUAAUUUGGCCCAGUAGUUUCAGAGGAGAAGAUUUUGUAAAAGAUAACUAAGAUUUGCGAAAAAUGGUUAAAAAUUGACUAUAAAGGGCAAUAACUCCUCAGGGGUCAAUUGACCAUUUCGUCAUGUUGACUUAUUUGUAAAUCUUACUUUGCUGAACAUUAUUGCUGUUUACAGUUUAU
RNAcentral lists this long non-coding RNA (349 nucleotides) under Mytilus galloprovincialis (Mediterranean mussel). The record is from RNAcentral. Lineage: Eukaryota; Metazoa; Mollusca; Bivalvia; Mytilida; Mytilidae.